CUUGUUGCUUCGGCGGGCCCGCCUUAACUGGCCGCCGGGGGGCUUACGCCCCCGGGCCCGCGCCCGCCGAAGACACCCUCGAACUCUGUCUGAAGAUUGUAGUCUGAGUGAAAAUAUAAAUUAUUUAAAACUUUCAACAACGGAUCUCUUGGUUCCGGCAUCGAUGAAGAACGCAGCGAAAUGCGAUACGUAAUGUGAAUUGCAAAUUCAGUGAAUCAUCGAGUCUUUGAACGCACAUUGCGCCCCCUGGUAUUCCGGGGGGCAUGCCUGUCCGAGCGUCAUUGCUGCCCUCAAGCACGGCUUGUGUGUUGGGCCCCGUCCUCCGAUCCCGGGGGACGGGCCCGAAAGGCAGCGGCGGCACCGCGUCCGGUCCUCGAGCGUAUGGGGCUUUGUCACCCGCUCUGUAGGCCCGGCCGGCGCUUGCCGAUCAACCCAAAUUUUUAUCCAGGUUGACCUCGGAUCAGGUAGGGAUACCCGCUGAACUUAAGCAUAUCAAUAAGCGGAGGAAAAGAAACCAACAGGGAUUGCCCCAGUAACGGCGAGUGAAGCGGCAAGAGCUCAAAUUUGAAAGCUGGCUCCUUCGGGGUCCGCAUUGUAAUUUGUAGAGGAUGCUUCUGGAGCGGUCCCCAUCUAAGUGCCCUGGAACGGGACGUCAUAGAGGGUGAGAAUCCCGUAUGGGAUGGGGUGUCCACGCCCGUGUGAAACUGCUUCUACGAGUCGAGUUGAUUGUGAAUGCAACUCUAAAUGUGUGGUGAAUUUCAUCUCCAGAUAAAUAGUGGCCUGAGACCGAUAGCGCACAAUUAGAGUGAUCCAAAGAUGCAAAGCACUUUGUAAAGAGAGUUAUAAAGCACGUUUAAUUGUUGAAAGGGGAAACGCAUGCGACCUGUCUCGCAUCGCGGGGAUUUGCCUGUAUUCUCGCCCGCGGAACUACCCCGCGGGCGGGCCAGGGU
Molecule: small RNA, 950 nt
Filed under: Penicillium sp. TUEF29
Lineage: Eukaryota; Fungi; Ascomycota; Eurotiomycetes; Eurotiales; Aspergillaceae
Description: eukaryotic LSU rRNA
Rfam family: Eukaryotic large subunit ribosomal RNA (bases 451-950)
Source: RNAcentral